This 434-nucleotide ribosomal RNA is filed under the name uncultured Treponema sp. Its description in RNAcentral is "partial 16S ribosomal RNA". It matches the Rfam family "Bacterial small subunit ribosomal RNA", at positions 341 to 792 of the family's 1533-position model. Lineage: Bacteria; Pseudomonadati; Spirochaetota; Spirochaetia; Treponematales; Treponemataceae. The record is from RNAcentral.
ACGGGAGGCAGCAGUGGGGAAUAUUGCACAAUGGGCGCAAGCCUGAUGCAGCGAUGCCGCGUGAGGGAAGAAGGUUUUCGGAUUGUAAACCUCUGUCAACAGGGACGAAAAUGACGGUACCUGUGAAGGAAGCUCCGGCUAAUUACGUGCCAGCAGCCGCGGUAACACGUAAGUUGCGAGCGUUGUUCGGAAUUAUUGGGCGUAAAGGGCAUGUAGGCGGUUUUGCAAGCUUGGUGUGAAAGGCAGGAGCUUAACUCCUGGACUGCGUUGAGAACUGCAAGACUUGAGUCACUGAGGGGCAAUCAGAAUUCCUGGUGUAGGGGUGAAAUCUGUAGAUAUCAGGAAGAAUACCAAUGGCGAAGGCAGGUUACCAGCAGAUGACUGACGCUGAGGUGCGAAGGUGCGGGGAGCAAACAGGAUUAGAUACCCUGGUA